RNAcentral lists this long non-coding RNA (2738 nucleotides) under Capra hircus (goat). Its description in RNAcentral is "lncRNA (ENSCHIG00010017895.1)". The record is from RNAcentral. Lineage: Eukaryota; Metazoa; Chordata; Mammalia; Artiodactyla; Bovidae.
CUAGGGCUGGGCUGGGCUGGGCUGGCGGGGCCGGGCUAGCUCCCCUGCGCCCGGUUCCGCCGCGGCGCUGCGGGCGAAGGUGGCUGCUGGAGGCGGCGGCGGCAGCGGCUGGAGCUCGCGGACUGCCUACCUCGCGCCGGCGCUCAGACCUAAUCUCCACGCACACUGAGCGAGGCGGACACACUAGCGCUGCGGGCUGAGGCGGGCGGGGGCGAGGGGCAGGGGCUCUGCCCCUCCGGAGGCUCUCCAUUGGCCAGGCCGAGUUGCCCAAACUUCCCCCCUUCGCCUCUCAUUGGGAAUUCCUGGCAUCCGUCAGCCGGGCCGCGCGCAUAUAGGUGGACUGGGCGGGCCCCUCCCGGCGCGCACGCCCCCGCCUACUCCCCGGGUUCCCACUCCCCCGCGCGGCUCAUGUGACACCAGCUUAAGCUGAACGGGACCGAAGCCGGGGGACGCCUCCCCGAGCUCGGGGACCGAGCGGCCGCCGCUCGGGAGCCCCAGGAGGAACCGCCGGGGCAUUGGACACGCUCCCAGCCCGCAGGAAGGCCGGGGUCCGGAGACGUCGGCACCCGGGGAAGGGGGGCGGGGAGUGCCGGGAUGGAAAGGAAUUUCCUGGGAAUUUCCUGAUUCCGCCCCGGCCCCGCCCCGCCCGGCGCGACCCUGCGGACCCCUGCCCUGCCGGAGCCAGGUUUCUGGCCAGCCAUCGGCGCUCCGUAGCCGCACAGCUUUCCCGCCUCGCCGCGGGUUCCUUUGCCGCCCUCCCUUGGGUUCAGGGUCUAAGUUGCCCAGCUUCCCGGGUUGCGCUGCGGGUUCCCCGCGGGCUGGCAGGGCCGAGCUAUCCUUAUACACACCUGGGCAGCACCCUGAUAGCUCUGAGCGAUCUACCCACUCCACGCCCCCUCAACACACACCCCUGACCAGACGGAGAAACUGAAUUUCCCAAAGAUGAGCUUAAAAGGGGGACUUAUCGGGUUCUCAGAGCUCCACAAGCCAACCCUGUAACCUUAUGCCUGACAAACAAAGCCUUAUUGUUAUUCGAGGAAGGAGGGCAAGACCGAAGAAACACCUUUAAGCUCGUGGAGCCUGCCUGCUCUACGCCUGUCCUAGUAAGAGGCGGAUCUCCCCAGUGGGCUCACACCCUGGUGGACUCCUCUGAGACCUCCGCGACUCAAGAACAGGAGCCAGAGGCCUCCAGUAGCGUCUGCACAGAGUAGUGCUUAAUCCAUGUAUGCCCCUGAAGGAUGGAUGGGUUUACUGUGAAAACAACUGUCAGUUCAGAGGUGACUGAAGGAGUUAGAAAGGGCCAUGAAUUAGGUUACCUGAAAGGCCAACAGAUGGGAAAGUUGAAAAAAGUGCCUGUGACUCCCAGGAGAGCCAGCCGCUGCUGUCGUAAGCAGAUAUGGGUGAUGGGUCAUUCCCUGCUCCAUUAGUCAAUCUCGCACAUUUAUACAAGAGUCACCGGUCAGCACUGUGCCCUCUGCAAGUCCCUGGCUGAGGAAGCACUGCUUCUGAGCCACGGAGACAGCAGAUUUAUAGACUAUUUUAUAUCCACUUCUAAACUAUGGUUCUAAACCUGAUAUCGAGGGUAAUGAUGGUGCUGCAGCCGUUCAUUCUCUCAAUAAAUAUUUGUGGCGCCGCAUCCCUGUGUCAGGGGAUGUGCUAGAUGUUAUGUAUCUAGAGGUGAAAAAAGACAGUCCUUGCCCCUGGCAGUCCAGCAGAGAAGCACAGAAACAAAAACAUACUUCAAGGAGACAGAUACUUCCCCAGCCAGGGCACUGUGGGGGGCGGGGGGCGCGGUGUAGAGAGGAUGAACUUUGAGCCCAGAAUAGGAAAGGAAGCUCCAGGUAUCACUUUUUGGAGGAAGGGGAAUUCAAGUGAGCCUUAAAGAACAAGAGUCAGCCAGACAAAGAGGAGAGUGGGAGAUUAUUCCAGGCAGAAGGAACAGUGUGAGCUAAUACACGGGGGCAGGAAGCUGCAUGGUAUAAAAGGGAUGCUAGCAUUUCAACAUGGCUAGACUAGAAAUUCAAGGCCAGGAGGGGCAAGAGACAGGGCUGGAGAGGUGGACAGGCGCCAGACAGUGAAAGCCUUCUCUACCACAUGAUGUGUGGGUCUGAGGGGAAGAAGGCUGGCUGGAAGCUGUGACAACCAGUUGCAAAGGAGUUGGAAUAAUCCAGGUAGUGCCUGGACGGGAAGUGCUGUGAGAAUGUCCAGAGUCAGCUGUCCAGUAAGCAGGUGAUGGCACAGCCCUGACUUGAGGGGAAACAGAAUCUGAGAGUCAUCUGACUACGGAUAGCAUGGACACCAUGAGGGACUCCAGGGAGAAUGCCUCAGUGGAGCUAAGAGUGCCCAGCUGAACCCAGAGGAGCAGAACUUAGAAAGGAACUGUGAAGAACAAGGACCCCUGGGGGAGACAGACAGGAAAUGGUCCCCAGAAGCGCAGGGAGCCUGGACAACAUGGCGUCAUGAAAAUCCAGAAUGAAGCAUCAAAGUGAGGGGCAUCAGCAGCAUCAGAUAUGGCAGAAAGGCCUGGAAAGUAAGGAGUAAGCCCUGAAAAAUGUCUCUGAAAUCAGGCAGUAUGCAUACUUUGGUUUCUGGAUUUUUCACUAAGUUGACUGUCUGUGAGGUUUAUGUUGUAGUUUGUAUCAGCAGUUGAUUUUUGUUUGUUUGUUUGUUUUCUUCCUGUGUAGUAUUCCAUUGUAUAAGUAUAUGCUAAGUAAUUCACCUGCGCUCCUGUCAUUUGU